This 207-nucleotide ribosomal RNA is filed under the name uncultured bacterium. RNAcentral describes it as "partial 16S ribosomal RNA". It matches the Rfam family "Bacterial small subunit ribosomal RNA", at positions 29 to 263 of the family's 1533-position model. The record is from RNAcentral.
AACGAACGCUGGCGGCAUGCCUAACACAUGCAAGUCGAACGAGACCUUCGGGUCUAGUGGCGCACGGGUGCGUAACGCGUGGGAAUCUGCCCUUAGGUUCGGAAUAACUCAGGGAAACUUGAGCUAAUACCGGAUAAUGACGUAAGUCCAAAGAUUUAUCGCCUAGGGAUGAGCCCGCGUAGGAUUAGCUAGUUGGUGGGUAAAGGA